This 537-nucleotide long non-coding RNA is filed under the name Gossypium raimondii (Peruvian cotton). RNAcentral's name for it is "long non-coding RNA (GRAI_LNC009329)". The record is from RNAcentral. Lineage: Eukaryota; Viridiplantae; Streptophyta; Magnoliopsida; Malvales; Malvaceae.
GUAUUCAAUUUUUUUGUAUCCGAAAAAAGAAGAAGAAAAACUCUUGUUGGUUGUGGCUCUUUUAUAGCCGAAAUUACAAGUUGUUUUGUCUCUAUUUUUGUUUUUUUCUUUGUUGUUUUUCUCCGCUUGUUAUCUUCUGCUUGUUGGUUUCUUACAGGUGGCAGAGAAAAGUGAGAUGCGUGUGGAGGAGGCUGGCAUGCGGCUGCGCGACUAGGGUUGUCAGGGUGGCAGAGGCGGCAGUGGCUAGGGUUUUCAGAGUUUCUGAAAAUGUUUAAACAUUUUGGGCCACUGGGCUUUUAAUUUUUUUGGUUGUAGUUUUAAUUUUUUUUUAGGUUUGUAAUUUGUAGUUGGAAUUUUGAUAUUUGGACCUUUUUAUUUAUUUUUUGGAUUUAUUUAUUGUUUGUAUUUGGUCUUGGGCCCGGGCAAAAUUGGCCUAUUACAAUUGCCCCUCUUUGCUCAUUUUCGUGUAACGGGAAUGUAGCAAAGAGAUCAAAAAGGGUAAAUUUUGCCUGGUCUAAGAUGAGAUUUGUAUCUUCA